Molecule: ribosomal RNA, 486 nt
Filed under: uncultured bacterium
Lineage: Bacteria
Description: partial 16S ribosomal RNA
Rfam family: Bacterial small subunit ribosomal RNA
Source: RNAcentral
AUUGAACGCUGGCGGCAUGCUUUACACAUGCAAGUCGAGCGGCAGCGCGGGGGCAACCCUGGCGGCGAGCGGCGAACGGGUGAGUAAUGCAUCGGAACGUAUCCUCGAGUGGGGGAUAACCCAGCGAAAGUUGGGCUAAUACCGCAUGGGCUCUGAGGAGGAAAGCGGGGGACCUGCGAGGGCCUCGCGCUGGAGGAGCGGCCGAUGUCCGAUUAGCUAGUUGGUGGGGUAAAGGCUUACCAAGGCGACGAUCGGUAGCUGGUCUGAGAGGAUGAUCAGCCACACUGGGACUGAGACACGGCCCAGACUCCUACGGGAGGCAGCAGUGGGGAAUUUUGGACAAUGGGGGCAACCCUGAUCCAGCCAUGCCGCGUGAGUGAAGAAGGCCUUCGGGUUGUAAAGCUCUUUCGGACGGAACGAAAUGGGCGGGACUAAUACUCCUGUCUGAUGACGGUACCGUAAGAAGAAGCACCGGCUAACUACGUG